UACGUAGGGUGCAAGCGUUGUCCGGAAUUAUUGGGCGUAAAGAGCUCGUAGGCGGUCAGUCGCGUCUGCUGUGAAAACUCGGGGCUUAACUCCGGGCCUGCAGUGGGUACGGGCUGACUAGAGUGCGGUAGGGGAGACUGGAAUUCCUGGUGUAGCGGUGAAAUGCGCAGAUAUCAGGAGGAACACCGGUGGCGAAGGCGGCUCACUGGGGGUUUUCUGACGCUGAGGAACGAAAGCCAGGGUAGCGAACGGG
This 253-nucleotide ribosomal RNA is filed under the name uncultured bacterium. RNAcentral's name for it is "partial 16S ribosomal RNA". It matches the Rfam family "Bacterial small subunit ribosomal RNA", at positions 524 to 776 of the family's 1533-position model. The record is from RNAcentral.